Molecule: long non-coding RNA, 295 nt
Organism: Raphanus sativus (radish)
Lineage: Eukaryota; Viridiplantae; Streptophyta; Magnoliopsida; Brassicales; Brassicaceae
Exons: 2
Source: RefSeq, a predicted model, not a curated record
AGAACUCUCCAAAUGCAAAUGAGAAUAAGAUGGAAUACUCAAAUUCAUUACAGGAGAAGGAAAACAAGAAGACAGGAAAACCUGGAAAGCAGACAAAGCAAGCAAAGGUAGAGACUGGAUCAAAGAAAAUAAGAGAUAUGUUUUCAAGGGCUUGUAAGAAAAAACGCUGAAAUGUGUGAAACUAUACAACUAUUAAUGAUUGUUUCUUUUUCAAGCUAUCAGAUGAUAUUUGCUUAGCUAGCAACACGUGAACAAAGAAUCUGCUUAUUUAUGUAAGAAUGGGUGAGUUUGGUUA